RNA transcript from Apis dorsata (giant honeybee), 602 nucleotides. It is a transcript of the gene named natterin-3-like, with no coding region annotated. The transcript has 4 exons. The record is from RefSeq and is a predicted model, not a curated record. Lineage: Eukaryota; Metazoa; Arthropoda; Insecta; Hymenoptera; Apidae.
UCGAUUUUAUUGAUAUUGAUAUUUCUGUUAUAGGAUAUAAAUGGGUUAGGUAUACGGGUGCUCGUUACUUUUUUACUACUCGUUACCUGCAAUGAUCUCAGUUGGGAAGGACUUGGAUGGUAUGAUACUUGUUGUUGGACGUGCUUACCAUAAUGGCGAUAUGCUUCCUGCUAAGGUGAAACCAGAACAUGGUGUCGCUUAUGUCGCUCAUGGCGGAAAAGAACAUAUGAAGCAUGAAUUUGAGAUAUUAAUGCACGCCGAUUUUCGGUGGAUUCCAUCGAGUAAUGGUCAUGUUCCGCCAGAUGCAAUAGAAGCUGGAAGAACGGUAGAAGGAGAAAUACUUUUUGUUGGUCGUGCAUAUCAAAAUGAUGUACCAUGUGUAGGAAAGGCUCCUUUUCGUAGAGUUUUCUAGUGACUAAAAGCUACGUAUGGAUAGUUUUUUUCCCGCUAUAUUAUAGGAAUAGGGCGGUUCUUAUGGCUGCUCAGCACACAGGCCCCACGCCAUCUGCCAUUACAGACUAUACAUGCACAAGCGCCUCUAACAAGACCCCAAGAUCCAUAAUGGUUUUGCAUCAUACCGGGUGUGUCAAAAUUUUGAGAUU